GAUGAACGCUGGCGGCGUGCCUAAUACAUGCAAGUCGAGCGAACGGACGAGAAGCUUGCUUCUCUGAUGUUAGCGGCGGACGGGUGAGUAACACGUGGAUAACCUACCUAUAAGACUGGGAUAACUUCGGGAAACCGGAGCUAAUACCGGAUGAUAUUUUGAACCGCAUGGUUCAAAAGUGAAAGACGGUCUUGCUGUCACUUAUAGAUGGAUCCGCGCUGCAUUAGCUAGUUGGUAAGGUAACGGCUUACCAAGGCAACGAUGCAUAGCCGACCUGAGAGGGUGAUCGGCCACACUGGAACUGAGACACGGUCCAGACUCCUACGGGAGGCAGCAGUAGGGAAUCUUCCGCAAUGGGCGAAAGCCUGACGGAGCAACGCUGCGAGAGUGAUGAAGGUCUUCGGAUCGUAAAACUCUGUUAUUAGGGAAGAACAUAUGUGUAAGUAACUGUGCACAUCUUGACGGUACCUAAUCAGAAAGCCACGGCUAACUACGUG
Molecule: ribosomal RNA, 497 nt
Filed under: uncultured bacterium
Lineage: Bacteria
Description: partial 16S ribosomal RNA
Rfam family: Bacterial small subunit ribosomal RNA
Source: RNAcentral